GCGGCUCGGCCUGGCGGAGAAUUUUCCUUGAAUUGGGACACUGCACCCCUAUAUAGCCUAUGGGUCACCUUUACCCUUGGCAACCUACCUACCUCACCAGCAUUGCCACCCAAUCUGCACUUUGCCUGCAGAGUGACAUCCUUCAAGCCUCCACACUGCAUCACAGUCAGGAUCAAGCAAAAGUCCUCCAGAGCUACCACAGGCUGUGCUGCCCAAAACAUAAUCAGAAACGAUACAGUUGACAUCAGCCGACAUCAUCAGAUGAACGUACUGCAUCACCUGAGUUGUGAUGUAGAUGAAGGAAAUGAAGACUCAAGAUUCCUAAUGUAAGCCUAUUCCUGGCAGUCUCUAGUGUUUGGUCAAGCACUUAAAAGGUCCUGUUUGCGAUGCACGACUAGCCCCAUAAGGAUUGGAUCGGGAGUGAGAGUCCUUGCCACACUAGUGGGGCUAAUGCACGACAGGCAACGCACGGCGGGUGACAGAAAAUAGCAUGUUUGGAACUGGUAAAUGGCAGAAUUGGGACACAACAAAAAGCAAAAGGCAGACGACAGGCGACGGCAGAUAUGGAACUCCAUAGAGACAUGUGCUUGAGUAUGCAACGGCUGCGUGGGAUUCUGGUUUUAGUAGAGCUAAAACCAGUAUACCAUCAUUGGAAAGAAUCCAACAGCAGGCUGCCAGAUUUUGUACCAACAACAACAGUAGGGUCGAGAGCUCCGUAACCAGUACCCUAAAUAAGCUGGGUUGGGAAACUUUCCGGUCAAGAAGGAGAAACCAGAGACUUUGUGUGCUCGACUAGAUGAAAUACGGAUUGGUUGAUGUUAACCUAGUUUAUCCAGCCUAACACCAGGAGAACUAGGGGGAAUGAUCAAAAAUUUCUACAAAUUCGUCAUAAGUCUAAAGCAUUCCAGGACUCAUUUUUUGUUUCCCCUAUAAAAGACUGGAACAAUCUACCUGUUGUAAAUAGUUCUUCACAGGAUGUAUUCAAAUCCAAGCUAAAGCAGCACCGUUAAAAUGAUUUGGUCUAGUCAUUCUACACGCUGUGCACUUCUCAGAAGUUAGCGAGGAUGUGGACAGCAUGCAGCCAAUCACAACGCUGCACGCGCUGUCCACAUGACUCACUGGGGGACUCCCCUAAAUUGACUAAUCUUUUAAACUAAACUUCAUCGUACUUUCACUACAGUAUUUCACCUAUAUUUAUGCAUUAAAAAUACCAGUGAAAAUAUGUGUAUUAAUAUUAUGCCAAAUAUAUCAAAUCUCUGAGAACAAUUUGAUUGCUUUUCCUUCGUUUUACUCAUUGUUUUUUUACAUUGUUUAGGUUUUGUAGAAACAUUUUCAAUUAAUCUCCCUCCUUAUAAGUUUAAUAGCUUAUUGAUUAUUCUUCCAUAUUAGAUCCAUUCCAUAGUCUGUCACAGCUCGUACUUCUGCUCUUUUGAAAGCCUUUAAUGUCCGCGCCUGGGAGGCGUUAAAACUUAUCAGAGUGGGGUAUGACAACAAGUUUAACAACCUGUGGAUGGAGUCCCUUCUCAUAAACAUAUCCGAAGUAAUUACAUCAACUUAUUUUCUUGGUAAGUUGCUUUACUCACAAGUACUGCCACUGGCUAUUCAACUACGGCCCAUGCGGGCGUGGCACCACUCGCUGGCAACAGGUCUACCAGGAACUUACCCCGCACGGUGCACUUGCACUUUUAUACCCAGACAUCGAUGACAAUUCAUUAAAGGUACUCUAUCAUAUGUGCAUUAUGCUCAAAUUGUGAAGACAGGUACCUAAGGCAAACUGCCAAUGAGAAUUUUUAAAAAAUGCAUCUUUAGAGGUGUCAUUAGAAAUGGCCUUCUUUCACUGCUAUCUUCAAAACGAUCACUUGCCAGAAAAAAAAAUUCAAAAGGAGUAUUAAUCAAUCAGUCACUUUUUAUGAUGGACUGUAUUUCUAAAUAUACUUGUGUUUGUCUGUUGAACUUGGGACAAGUCCAUAAGUUAUUCAUUCAUGAUUUAUUAUUAAAAUCUCAAUAGCAGCCAAAGGCUGAAUUGCAGAGAUCUUUACAUGCAUACAUUUGAAACGAAAGAUUAAGUAAGAAAUAAAAUACAAAGAGGAUGCAAUAAAAAAACAAACCAUAACAAAAGUAUGGAAUCGAGUUAAACAAACAGGCAAAACAUUGCCAAUGACUUGUCGUCCAGCAACUGGAUAAGAUAGGACGUCACACUUUUCUUAAAAAGUUCUGUUCCACAGGACGGUACAGAAAAUUGUACUGCUUUAGUAGUUGAUAUGUAGUCAAGACAGCAGAGAUGAGACAUUUAUUCACUUCAGAAGUAGGUAUAGACUUUGCAAGUGACUCGCACAGCUUUUGCCUUUAUAUCUGUAACAUGUCUUACCCAAGUGUUUGGAGGGCAUUAUCACAGGAAUCAUAUUCCAAGCCAAGGAUAAUCUUGCAUGUUCUAGAUUAACACACAGUGUAUUAGUUAUCUGUAAUGAUCUUGCUAGAAGUGAAAUCAUUGACAACAGCCAAAAGAAACUAUAGGUAUCAAUAACAAAACAAGAAGACAAAGAUGAUCUUCUAUUUUUACUCAUUUAUGUAUGUAGGGCACUACAUAUGCAAUGAAUUCUGUGGGGAGAUCUAAAGGCUGAGCUCUACACAAAUGCAGAUUUAUUAUUACUUAAAUGGAGGUUUAAUCUGAAUACAUCAGGGCAUAUUUGCAGAUCUGGUGGCAUUUAACAAUCAAUGCACACUCAGCUAGAUGACUUGUUGUUGCCGUGAAAUAUAUCAUUGAGAAAUGUUGAUCUGAGUCAUUAUGCCUCCCUCUCAAAAAACGUGUCUACAUGUAGGUGUAGUCACACCAUCUUCAGUAGACCAUACUUCUAAAUGGAAACAACUAGACAAACAACGGCUUGCCAACUCCUGACAAGUUGGUAAAUGUGUCCUUGCUGUUGAGUACACUGCUUUAAGUUUGUAUUUGCAAAGGUUUGACUCAAGAAUCUCCAUGGCACGUUUCGAAGGACAACUAUAUGUUGUGUGACCCUU
This 3015-nucleotide long non-coding RNA is filed under the name Acanthaster planci (crown-of-thorns starfish). RNAcentral describes it as "uncharacterized LOC110981896". The record is from RNAcentral. Lineage: Eukaryota; Metazoa; Echinodermata; Asteroidea; Valvatida; Acanthasteridae.